Molecule: ribosomal RNA, 468 nt
Filed under: uncultured bacterium
Lineage: Bacteria
Description: partial 16S ribosomal RNA
Rfam family: Bacterial small subunit ribosomal RNA
Source: RNAcentral
GACGAACGCUGGCGGCGUGCUUAACACAUGCAAGUCGAACGGAAAGGCCCUGCUUUUGUGGGGUGCUCGAGUGGCGAACGGGUGAGUAACACGUGAGUAACCUGCCCUUGACUUUGGGAUAACUUCAGGAAACUGGGGCUAAUACCGGAUAGGAGCUCCUGCUGCAUGGUGGGGGUUGGAAAGUUUCGGCGGUUGGGGAUGGACUCGCGGCUUAUCAGCUUGUUGGUGGGGUAGUGGCUUACCAAGGCUUUGACGGGUAGCCGGCCUGAGAGGGUGACCGGCCACAUUGGGACUGAGAUAAGGCCCAGACGCCUAAGGAAGGCAGAAGUGGGGAAUAUUGAACAAUGGGCGGCGGACUGAUGCAGCAACGACGAGUGAGGGAUGACGGCCUUCGGGUUGUAAACCGCUUUCGCCUGUGACGAAGAGUGAGUGAAGGUAAUGGGUAAAGAAGCACCGGCUAACUACGUG